RNAcentral lists this ribosomal RNA (711 nucleotides) under Fusarium sp. RNAcentral describes it as "SSU rRNA". It matches the Rfam family "Bacterial small subunit ribosomal RNA", at positions 365 to 948 of the family's 1533-position model. The record is from RNAcentral. Lineage: Eukaryota; Fungi; Ascomycota; Sordariomycetes; Hypocreales; Nectriaceae.
UAGUCAAUGGCCUAACGGCUGAACUGGCAACUUGGAGAAGUGGCAAGUCUUCCAGUAUGGGGAGCAAAACAGCUAUGGGUCAAGUCCGAUAUCUUUAGGAGGCGCGAAGCUCCUCUUAUUGUGAGGGCGAGUUUUAUAACACCAUAGGACUGGCCGUCCCAUAUGAAAAGAUUAUAUUAGAAUUGAAUGAAGCUUUGUUUAUAUAUUGAUAAUGACAGUAUAUAUAUCGUGUCUUGACUAAUUGCGUGCCAGCAGUCGCGGUAAUACGUAAGAGACUAGUGUUAUUCAUCUUAAUUAGGUUUAAAGGGUACCCAGACGGUCAAUAUAGCUUAUAAAAUGUUAGUACUUGACUAGAGUUUUAUGUAAGAGGGCAGUACUUGAGGAGGAGAGAUGAAAUUUCGUGAUACCAAAGGGACUCGGUAAAGGCGAAGGCAGCCCUCUAGGUAAAAACUGACGUUGAAGGACGAAGGCACAGAGAACAAACAGGAUUAGAUACCCAAGUAGUCUUUGCAGUAAAUGAUGAAUGCCAUAGGUUAGAUCUGAGUUGGUAGUCUAGUUGAGUUAGUUUACUAAACUAAUGAUCUAUACAAGCCAGCCUUAGAUUUGGUCUAUAAAUGAAAGUGUAAGCAUUUCACCUCAAGAGUAAUGUGGCAACGCAGGAACUGAAAUCACUAGACCGUUUCUGACACCAGUAGUGAAGUAUGUUAUUAU